Molecule: ribosomal RNA, 497 nt
Filed under: uncultured bacterium
Lineage: Bacteria
Description: partial 16S ribosomal RNA
Rfam family: Bacterial small subunit ribosomal RNA
Source: RNAcentral
GAUGAACGCUGGCGGCGUGCCUAAUACAUGCAAGUCGAGCGAACAGAUAAGGAGCUUGCUCCUUUGACGUUAGCGGCGGACGGGUGAGUAACACGUGGGUAACCUACCUAUAAGACUGGAAUAACUCCGGGAAACCGGGGCUAAUGCAGGAUAACAUGUUGAACCGCAUGGUUCUACAGUGAAAGGCGGCUUUGCUGUCACUUAUAGAUGGACCCGCGCCGUAUUAGCUAGUUGGUGAGGUAACGGCUCACCAAGGCAACGAUACGUAGCCGACCUGAGAGGGUGAUCGGCCACACUGGAACUGAGACACGGUCCAGACUCCUACGGGAGGCAGCAGUAGGGAAUCUUCCGCAAUGGGCGAAAGCCUGACGGAGCAACGCCGCGUGAGUGAUGAGGGUCUUCGGAUCGUAAAACUCUGUUAUUAGGGAAGAACAAAUGCGUAAGUAACUGUGCGCGUCUUGACGGUACCUAAUCAGAAAGCCACGGCUAACUACGUG